GGGCCCGCACAAGCGGUGGAGCAUGUGGUUUAAUUCGAUGCAACGCGAAGAACCUUACCAGGUCUUGACAUCCAAAGAACCCGGUGGAAACACUGGGGUGCCUUCGGGAGCUUUGAGACAGGUGGUGCAUGGUUGUCGUCAGCUCGUGUCGUGAGAUGUUGGGUUAAGUCCCGCAACGAGCGCAACCCUUGCUAUUAGUUGCUAACAGGUAGAGCUGAGCACUCUAAUGGGACUGCCCGUGACAAGCGGGAGGAAGGUGGGGAUGACGUCAAAUCAUCAUGCCCUUUAUGAUCUGGGCUACACACGUGCUACAAUGGAUGGUACAGAGAGCAGCGAGACUGUGAAGUGGAGCGAAUCUCAAAAAGCCAUUCUCAGUUCGGAUUGUAGUCUGCAACUCGACUACAUGAAGUCGGAAUCGCUAGUAAUCGCGAAUCAGCAUGUCGCGGUGAAUGCGUUCCCGGGCCUU
RNAcentral lists this ribosomal RNA (466 nucleotides) under uncultured bacterium. RNAcentral's name for it is "bacterial SSU rRNA". It matches the Rfam family "Bacterial small subunit ribosomal RNA", at positions 917 to 1382 of the family's 1533-position model. The record is from RNAcentral.